GAUGAACGCUAGCGGGAGGCCUAAUACAUGCAAGUCGAACGGUAACAGGGGUAGCAAUACCCGCUGACGAGUGGCGCACGGGUGCGUAACACGUACACAAUCUACCUUAUACUGGAGCAUAACCUUGGGAAACUGAGGCUAAUUCUCCAUAACAUAUUGAAGAGGCAUCUCUUUAAUAUUAAAACUCAGGUGGUAUAAGAUGAGUGUGCGUCUGAUUAGCUAGUUGGUGGGGUAAUGGCUCACCAAGGCAACGAUCAGUAGCUGGUCUGAGAGGAUGAUCAGCCACACUGGAACUGAGACACGGUCCAGACUCCUACGGGAGGCAGCAGUAGGGAAUAUUGGACAAUGGGCGGAAGCCUGAUCCAGCCAUCCCGCGUGUAGGAAUAAGGCCCUAUGGGUUGUAAACUACUUUUAUUAGGGAAGAAAAACUUUAGAUUUAUUCAGAGCUUGACGGUACCUAAGGAAUAAGCACCGGCUAACUCCGUGCCAGCA
This 492-nucleotide ribosomal RNA is filed under the name uncultured bacterium. RNAcentral describes it as "bacterial SSU rRNA". It matches the Rfam family "Bacterial small subunit ribosomal RNA", at positions 28 to 513 of the family's 1533-position model. The record is from RNAcentral.